Molecule: ribosomal RNA, 1730 nt
Filed under: Enterobacter cloacae
Lineage: Bacteria; Pseudomonadati; Pseudomonadota; Gammaproteobacteria; Enterobacterales; Enterobacteriaceae
Also listed under: 1 other name
Description: bacterial LSU rRNA
Rfam family: Bacterial large subunit ribosomal RNA
Source: RNAcentral
GUUGUUGGGUAGGGGAGCGUUCUGUAAGCCGUUGAAGGUGUGCUGUGAGGCAUGCUGGAGGUAUCAGAAGUGCGAAUGCUGACAUAAGUAACGAUAAAGCGGGUGAAAAGCCCGCUCGCCGGAAGACCAAGGGUUCCUGUCCAACGUUAAUCGGGGCAGGGUGAGUCGACCCCUAAGGCGAGGCCGAAAGGCGUAGUCGAUGGGAAACAGGUUAAUAUUCCUGUACUUGGUGUUACUGCGAAGGGGGGACGGAGAAGGCUAUGUCAGCCGGGCGACGGUUGUCCCGGUUUAAGCAUGUAGGCGGAGGUUCCAGGUAAAUCCGGUACCUUAUUAACGCUGAGGUGUGAUGACGAGGCACUACGGUGCUGAAGUGAUAAAUGCCCUGCUUCCAGGAAAAGCCUCUAAGCAUCAGGUAACACGAAAUCGUACCCCAAACCGACACAGGUGGUCAGGUAGAGAAUACCAAGGCGCUUGAGAGAACUCGGGUGAAGGAACUAGGCAAAAUGGUGCCGUAACUUCGGGAGAAGGCACGCUGAUGUGUAGGUGAAGUCCCUGCGGACGGAGCUGAAAUCAGUCGAAGAUACCAGCUGGCUGCAACUGUUUAUUAAAAACACAGCACUGUGCAAACACGAAAGUGGACGUAUACGGUGUGACGCCUGCCCGGUGCCGGAAGGUUAAUUGAUGGGGUUAGCGGCAACGCGAAGCUCUUGAUCGAAGCCCCGGUAAACGGCGGCCGUAACUAUAACGGUCCUAAGGUAGCGAAAUUCCUUGUCGGGUAAGUUCCGACCUGCACGAAUGGCGUAAUGAUGGCCAGGCUGUCUCCACCCGAGACUCAGUGAAAUUGAACUCGCUGUGAAGAUGCAGUGUACCCGCGGCAAGACGGAAAGACCCCGUGAACCUUUACUAUAGCUUGACACUGAACACUGGUCCUUGAUGUGUAGGAUAGGUGGGAGGCUUUGAAGCGUGGACGCCAGUCUGCGUGGAGCCAACCUUGAAAUACCACCCUUUAAUGGCUGGUGUUCUAACGUGGACCCGUAAUCCGGGUUGCGGACAGUGUCUGGUGGGUAGUUUGACUGGGGCGGUCUCCUCCCAAAGAGUAACGGAGGAGCACGAAGGUUGGCUAAUCCUGGUCGGACAUCAGGAGGUUAGUGCAAUGGCAUAAGCCAGCUUGACUGCGAGCGUGACGGCGCGAGCAGGUGCGAAAGCAGGUCAUAGUGAUCCGGUGGUUCUGAAUGGAAGGGCCAUCGCUCAACGGAUAAAAGGUACUCCGGGGAUAACAGGCUGAUACCGCCCAAGAGUUCAUAUCGACGGCGGUGUUUGGCACCUCGAUGUCGGCUCAUCACAUCCUGGGGCUGAAGUAGGUCCCAAGGGUAUGGCUGUUCGCCAUUUAAAGUGGUACGCGAGCUGGGUUUAGAACGUCGUGAGACAGUUCGGUCCCUAUCUGCCGUGGGCGCUGGAGAAUUGAGGGGGGCUGCUCCUAGUACGAGAGGACCGGAGUGGACGCAUCACUGGUGUUCGGGUUGUCAUGCCAAUGGCACUGCCCGGUAGCUAAAUGCGGAAGAGAUAAGUGCUGAAAGCAUCUAAGCACGAAACUUGCCCCGAGAUGAGUUCUCCCUGAGACUUUAAGUCUCCUGAAGGAACGUUGAAGACGACGACGUUGAUAGGUCGGGUGUGUAAGCGCAGCGAUGCGUUGAGCUAACCGAUACUAAUGAACCGUGAGGCUUAACCUU